Molecule: non-coding RNA, 262 nt
Filed under: Caldalkalibacillus thermarum
Lineage: Bacteria; Bacillati; Bacillota; Bacilli; Caryophanales; Bacillaceae
Description: T-box sequence
Rfam family: T-box leader
About the family: Uncharged tRNA acts as the effector for transcription antitermination of genes in the T-box leader family. T-boxes are found upstream of many aminoacyl-tRNA synthetase genes and some amino acid biosynthetic genes usually in Gram-positive bacteria.
Source: RNAcentral
GUUAAAACGUUGAAGGGGAAAAGUAGUCUUAAGCCUGUGUAUCUACAGAGAGCCGGGGCAGCUGAAAACCGGUGAUACACACUUAAGAUGAACUCACCCCUGAGUGUCUCGCUGAACGCCAAGGCAAGUAGGUGAGGCCGGGUGCACUGCACUCGUUAUUAAAACGGACGGAGUGGAUGGCCAUUCCGUUCAUGAGGCAUUGUCCGCAAGGGCAAUGUGAAGAAGGGUGGUACCAUGGAAAGGAAAUCUUUUCAUCCCUUAC